Molecule: ribosomal RNA, 435 nt
Filed under: uncultured Pseudoramibacter sp.
Lineage: Bacteria; Bacillati; Bacillota; Clostridia; Eubacteriales; Eubacteriaceae
Description: bacterial SSU rRNA
Rfam family: Bacterial small subunit ribosomal RNA
Source: RNAcentral
ACGGGAGGCAGCAGUGGGGAAUAUUGCGCAAUGGGGGGAACCCUGACGCAGCAAUACCGCGUGAGUGAAGAAGGUUUUCGGAUCGUAAAACUCUUUUAUUGGGGAAGAAGGAUGACGGUACCCAAUGAAGAAGUCCCGGCUAACUACGUGCCAGCAGCCGCGGUAAUACGUAGGGGACAAGCGUUGUCCGGAAUGACUGGGCGUAAAGGGCACGUAGGCGGUUUUUUAAGUCUGAUGUGAAAGGUACCGGCUCAACCGGUGACAUGCAUUGGAAACUGGAAGACUUGAGUACUGGAGAGGCAAGCGGAAUUCCUGGUGUAGCGGUGAAAUGCGUAGAUAUCAGGAGGAACACCGGUGGCGAAGGCGGCUUGCUGGACAGUAACUGACGUUGAGGCACGAAAGCGUGGGGAGCAAACAGGAUUAGAUACCCUGGUA